Molecule: ribosomal RNA, 1523 nt
Filed under: Corynebacterium sp. HMSC077G01
Lineage: Bacteria; Bacillati; Actinomycetota; Actinomycetes; Mycobacteriales; Corynebacteriaceae
Description: bacterial LSU rRNA
Rfam family: Bacterial large subunit ribosomal RNA
Source: RNAcentral
UUUAGGUUGGUUGGUGUGUGUGAUGCUGGGGACCUGAACUGGUAGUAGCCAAGUGAUGGGGUGACGCAGGAAGGUAGCCGUGCCACGUGAUGGAUAUCGUGGUGUAAGCGUGUGGCCCGUGUUCUAGGUAAAUCCGGAGCACAUAUAGGGUGAGGCGUGAUGCGUACCCGUUUUGGGGAAGUUGGUGAUCCUAUGCUGCCGAGAAAAGCCUCUAGCGAUGUGGAUAUACGGCCCGUACCCGAAACCGACACAGGUAGUCAGGUAGAGAAUACUAAGGCGAUCGGGAGAACUGUGGUUAAGGAACUCGGCAAAAUGCCCCCGUAACUUCGGGAGAAGGGGGGCCAUGACUGGUGACCGACGUGGUUGAGCUGGUUGUGGCCGCAGAGAAUAGAGGGAAGCGACUGUUUACUAAAAACACAGGUCCGUGCGAAGACGGGUAAGUCGAUGUAUACGGACUGACGCCUGCCCGGUGCUGGAAGGUUAAGAGGACCUGUUAGACCCCUUUUGCGGGUCGAAGCGGAGAAUUUAAGCCCCAGUAAACGGCGGUGGUAACUAUAACCAUCCUAAGGUAGCGAAAUUCCUUGUCGGGUAAGUUCCGACCUGCACGAAUGGCGUAACGACUUCCCUGCUGUCUCAACCACAGACCCGGCGAAAUUGCAGUACGAGUAAAGAUGCUCGUUACGCGCGGCAGGACGAAAAGACCCCGGGACCUUCACUAUAGCUUGGUAUUGGUGUUCGGUUCGGUUUGUGUAGGAUAGGUGGGAGACUGUGAUACCUCAACGCCAGUUGGGGUGGAGUCGUUGUUGAAAUACCACUCUGAUCGUAUUGGACAUCUCAACCUCGGCCCGUGAUCCGGGUUAGGGACAGUGCCUGGUGGGUAGUUUAACUGGGGCGGUUGCCUCCCAAAGAGUAACGGAGGCGCCCAAAGGUUCCCUCAGCCUGGUUGGCAAUCAGGUGUUGAGUGUAAGUGCACAAGGGAGCUUGACUGUGAGACUGACAGGUCGAGCAGGUAGGAAACUAGGGACUAGUGAUCCGGCACCGGCUUGUGGAAGCGGUGUCGCUCAACGGAUAAAAGGUACCCCGGGGAUAACAGGCUGAUCUUCCCCAAGAGUCCAUAUCGACGGGAUGGUUUGGCACCUCGAUGUCGGCUCGUCGCAUCCUGGGGCUGGAGUAGGUCCCAAGGGUUGGGCUGUUCGCCCAUUAAAGCGGCACGCGAGCUGGGUUUAGAACGUCGUGAGACAGUUCGGUCUCUAUCCGCCGCGCGCGUAGAAACUUGAGGAAGGCUGUCCCUAGUACGAGAGGACCGGGAUGGACGUACCUCUGGUGUGCCAGUUGUCCCGCCUGGGGCAUGGCUGGUUGGCUACGUACGGAAGGGAUAACCGCUGAAAGCAUCUAAGCGGGAAGCCUGUUCCAAGAUUAGGUUUCUUUUGAGGUCCCCUAUAGAUGAUGGGGUUGAUAGGCCGGAUCUGGAAGCAUCGUAAGGUGUGGAGGUGACCGGUACUAAUAGACCAAACAUUCAACAC